AGGGUAGAGGGAGAACACAGACCAGGGAGGGAGGGUAGAGGGAGAACACAGACCAGGGAGGUAUGUUAUUAUCCCUAAGCCUCUGAAUAAUAAACAUGGUAAAUAACUGAUCAUAUUAGAAAGUGUUGAACAAUCAAACAAUGAUGGUUGUCAUUGUACAGUAUUAAUAUAUUGUACUGCUACUACUCGACAUUAAGA
Oncorhynchus tshawytscha (Chinook salmon) is the source of this 198-nucleotide long non-coding RNA. RefSeq lists it as uncharacterized. The transcript is spliced from 2 exons. NCBI's taxonomy places the organism in Eukaryota, Metazoa, Chordata, Actinopteri, Salmoniformes, Salmonidae. The record is from RefSeq and is a predicted model, not a curated record.